AAACUAAAUGUAACUAAAUGGGUUUAUAAACUACUCACUGAGAACGGAGUAUGGCAGGAAAUCAUUCGUAAUAAGUACGUGGAAUCCAAAGCCAUUUCUCAAGUCCAUCGGAAACCUGGUAACUCACAUUUUUGGGCUGGGGUCAUGAAGGCCAAGGAAUUCUUUUUUCAAUUUGGGACUUUCUCGGUUAGGGACGAUUCCCAGGUUCGAUUCUGGGAAGACACCUGGCUAGGGACCACACCACUCAUGGUGCAAUACCGAGUUUGUAUAGGAUUUUUAGACAUAAAUUUGUCACCAUCAAACAAGUUUUGGGACAAGAAAACCCUGAUAUUUCUUUCCGUAGGACCUAUUAGGACCUCGCCUGGCAGCUUAGAAUGA
RNAcentral lists this ribosomal RNA (378 nucleotides) under Triticum aestivum (bread wheat). RNAcentral describes it as "partial small subunit ribosomal RNA". Lineage: Eukaryota; Viridiplantae; Streptophyta; Magnoliopsida; Poales; Poaceae. The record is from RNAcentral.